UAUAUAGGUGGUUAUUAGGUUGAUUUUAAAUUAAAUUAGGUUAAGGAUAAGUUAAUCAUUUCCACACUUUAGGACACCCCUUAUAACUACAGGGUGAUAUUCUUAUCACAUAGUAGUCCCCCACCAAAAAAAAAAAAGAUAGUGCCCAAAAAAUAGUUAUUUCUUUCGGUUGACAUUAGGCUUAGAACUUAGAAAGUCCAUGUAUCGAAAGCCCAUCAAAAACUGAACGCACAUAUAUAAUUUUUGUCGAGAACAGUUGUAGCCUUGUGUUGGCAGAGAGACGAGACACAUAAAAUCAGAUUUUCUCUUUUGAUUAAGACGCAGAUAUAGCUUGACGUCACUUUUCAAUGGAAUUACAACAUAAAUGCUCAUAUGGAACCGAAUGUUUUGAAAUGGCCAGAAAGAUAGCCGAACAAAGGGAUACAGGCCGUAAACGUACCGAGGAGGAAGUGCAGGAGGAUAUUCGCACGUCUGUACGGGAAGUUGCGCGCAUGCUUACUCAGGCAAGACUCAGUUUGAAUAUGCAAAGAAGACAGGAACAUAGAUUUCGGUGGGGGAAUCAGUCUGAGAGAAUAAUGAAGUAUCAGAAGAAGAAGAACUGGUAAGUGUAUAUUCGUGGACGACUGAGGAUGAGCUUAAACAUGAAAUAUCAAACACCAAAACACUGCUGUGGGAGAAAGAGGCCAAUGUUAUAACUUUAGCUGGCCUCAAAAUCUUUCCCAAGAUAGGAAAACGAGUUGGAAAGUCCAGUAUUGGCACCCUUGAAGUCCAUGCAAACGGGUUCUACUAUGUCAGUCCCAAUUUCUGUUUUACUUUCUUUUACGCAGAUGUACAGAAAGUUUUAUUUUGUGUUGGAGA
Long non-coding RNA from Papaver somniferum (opium poppy), 858 nucleotides. RefSeq lists it as uncharacterized. The record is from RefSeq and is a predicted model, not a curated record. The transcript has 2 exons. NCBI's taxonomy places the organism in Eukaryota, Viridiplantae, Streptophyta, Magnoliopsida, Ranunculales, Papaveraceae.